GGGGGAGAGGGUGAAUUGAUUUCAAAUAAAAAUGUUUUCUUUUACCGUCUUUUUGAAAUCUUUAGAAUGAUCUUUAAAGCAUAACACAAUAAUAAGAACAAUGCAAUAAAAGAGUUUAAAGGAUAGAAAACAAACACAGCGUUUUAUAUUGGUUCGGCCUCAAUACCUACAUCUAGUAUCCUUUCAAUCAACCUUAGAGUGAAAGACCUUCUGCCAUAAAGAUUUGAGUUUUUACAACAAGGUUUAAAGAUACCAACUCUCAAAUGAAAU
RNAcentral lists this long non-coding RNA (270 nucleotides) under Vigna radiata. RNAcentral's name for it is "long non-coding RNA (VRAD_LNC005237)". The record is from RNAcentral. Lineage: Eukaryota; Viridiplantae; Streptophyta; Magnoliopsida; Fabales; Fabaceae.